This 608-nucleotide ribosomal RNA is filed under the name uncultured Vibrionaceae bacterium. Its description in RNAcentral is "bacterial SSU rRNA". It matches the Rfam family "Bacterial small subunit ribosomal RNA", at positions 47 to 652 of the family's 1533-position model. The record is from RNAcentral. Lineage: Bacteria; Pseudomonadati; Pseudomonadota; Gammaproteobacteria; Vibrionales; Vibrionaceae.
CCUAACACAUGCAAGUCGAGCGGUAACAUGUCUAGCUUGCUAGAUGAUGACGAGCGGCGGACGGGUGAGUAAUGCUUGGGGAUCUGCCUUAGAGUGGAGGAUAACCAUUGGAAACGAUGGCUAAUACUGCAUAGUAUCUGCGGAUUAAAGGGGGCUUCGGCUCUUGCUUUAAGAUGAACCCAAGUGGGAUUAGCUAGUUGGUGAGGUAAUGGCUCACCAAGGCGACGAUCCCUAGCUGGUCUGAGAGGAUGAUCAGCCACACUGGAACUGAGACACGGUCCAGACUCCUACGGGAGGCAGCAGUGGGGAAUAUUGCACAAUGGGCGAAAGCCUGAUGCAGCCAUGCCGCGUGUGUGAAGAAGGCCCUAGGGUUGUAAAGCACUUUCAGUCAGGAGGAAAGGUUAGUAGUUAAUACCUGCUAGCUGUGACGUUACUGACAGAAGAAGCACCGGCUAACUUCGUGCCAGCAGCCGCGGUAAUACGAGGGGUGCAAGCGUUAAUCGGAAUUACUGGGCGUAAAGCGAGCGUAGGCGGCUGAAUAAGCUGGAUGUGAAAAACCGGGGCUCAACCUCGGCCGUGCAUUCAGAACUGUUUAGCUAGAGUCCUGU